Molecule: ribosomal RNA, 501 nt
Filed under: uncultured bacterium
Lineage: Bacteria
Description: partial 16S ribosomal RNA
Rfam family: Bacterial small subunit ribosomal RNA
Source: RNAcentral
AUUGAACGCUGGCGGCAUGCCUUACACAUGCAAGUCGAACGGCAGCACGGGUGCUUGCACCUGGUGGCGAGUGGCGAACGGGUGAGUAAUACAUCGGAACGUACCUUAUCGUGGGGGCUAACGCAGCGAAAGUUGCGCUAAUACCGCAUACGCCCUGAGGGGGAAAGCGGGGGACCGUAAGGCCUCGCGCGAUUAGAGCGGCCGAUGUCUGAUUAGCUUGUUGGUGAGGUACAAGCUCACCAAGGCGAUGAUCAGUAGCUGGUCUGAGAGGACGAUCAGCCACACUGGGACUGAGACACGGCCCAGACUCCUACGGGAGGCAGCAGUGGGGAAUUUCGGACAAUGGGGGCAACCCUGAUCCAGCAAUGCCGCGUGAGUGAAGAAGGCCUUCGGGUUGUAAAGCUCUUUUGUCAGGGAAGAAACAGCAGCUCUAACACAGUCUGCGAAUGACGGUACCUGAAGAAUAAGCACCGGCUAACUACGUGCCAGCAGCCGCGGUAA